This is a long non-coding RNA of Sinocyclocheilus rhinocerous, 77 nucleotides long. RefSeq lists it as uncharacterized. Lineage: Eukaryota; Metazoa; Chordata; Actinopteri; Cypriniformes; Cyprinidae. The transcript is spliced from 3 exons. The record is from RefSeq and is a predicted model, not a curated record.
AUUUAUUUAUUGGAAUCAAUGUUAUAUUGUGUCGUGUUUAUCAAAAUAAAAAUAAUAAAAAAUAGAUUCCAGUAAAU